Molecule: long non-coding RNA, 2056 nt
Organism: Marmota monax (woodchuck)
Lineage: Eukaryota; Metazoa; Chordata; Mammalia; Rodentia; Sciuridae
Exons: 2
Source: RefSeq, a predicted model, not a curated record
UUUUCGGCGGACACAACAUCUUUGUUUGUAUGUGGUGCUGAGGAUCGAACCCGGGCCGCACGCAUGCCAGGCGAGCGUGCUACCGCUUGAGCCACAUCCCCAGCCCAAAAAAAAACCCAACCAUCACACCAUGAAGACUCACUACUGAUAUGUGGAGAAGUUCCAAAGGAGAGGAGAUGAGACCUCCCACCAAUAGCAGCAUGGGAAAACCAGCCCUGACACAGACCCUCCAGUCAAGUCGCACUGAGGUGACUGUAAUAUUUGAGGGAAACCUCAUGAAAGACCCCCCGUAGAACUGGCCAGAUGAGCCUUCACAAAUUUAUGAUCUGCCAAAUUUGUGAGAGAUAAAUUAUGAUUAUUUUAAAACAUUAAAUUUUAAAGUAAUUUGUUAUCCGUGAUAUGCAAGAUAAGAAUUUUUCUUAUUGAUUCGCUAAAGAUCUUUACAUUUCAAAGUUUAUAGUUUGCCAGACAGGGUCUCACUGAGUUGUUUAGGGCCUUGUUAAGUUGCUGAGCUGGCUUUGAACUCUCAAUCCUGGUGUCUCAGCUUUCUGGAGCUGCUGGAAUUAUAGCCAUCAUGCAUGACAACUUAUAUUUCUUAGAAUAGGUUUUUAUACUUCUUAUGAAAAUAUAUAAUUCUUUUAAUUAAUAGUUUGACAUCUAAUCACUAAUUUUUAAAAAUUUUUGCAUUUUUUAUUUUAAUUUGUUAGGUAUGACAGCAGAAUGCAUUACAAUUCACAUUACACAUAUAGAGCACAAUUUUUCAUAUCUGUGGUUGUACACAAAGUAGAGUCACACCAUUCAUGUCUUCAUACAUGUACUUAGGGUAAUGAUGUCCAUCUCAUUCUACCCUCUUUCCUACUCACAUACCCCCUCCCUUUCCCUCCAUCCCCUUGCUCUAUCUAGAGUUCCCCUAAUCCUCCCAUGCUCUACCCCCUAACCCCAUUAUGGAUCAGCAUCCUUAUAUCAGAGAAAACAUUCGGCCUUUAGUUUUUUGGGAUUGGCUUACUUCACUUAGCUUGAUAUUCUCCAACUCCAUCCAUUUACCUGAAAAUGCCAUGAUUUUAUUCUCUUUUAAUGCUAAAUAGUGUUCCAUUGUGUAUAUAUACCACAUAUUUUAAUCCAUUCAUCAACUGAAGGACAUCUAGGUUGGUUUAGCAAGAAGAGUGAAGUAGGUAGCAUCAGUAUACCAGACCUUAAACUAUACUACAGAGCAAUAGUAACAAAAACAGCAUGGUAUUGGCACCAAAACAGACUUGUAACCAAUGGUACAGAAUAGAGGACACAGAGACAACCCACAUAACUAUAGUUAUAUUAGACAAAGGUGCCAAAAACAUACAUUAGAGAAAAGAUAGACUCUUCAACAAAUGGUGCUGGGAAAACUGGAAAUCCAUAUGCAACAAAAUAAAAUUGAACCCCUAUCUCUCACCAUGCACAAAACUCAACUUAAAGUGGAUCAAAGACCUAUGAAUUAAACCAAAUACACCGUGCCUAAUAGAAGAAAAAGUAGGCCCAAAUCUCCAUCAUGUAGGAUUAGGCCCCAACUUCCUUAAUAAGACUCCUAUAGCAUAAGAAUUAAAAUAAGAAUCAAUAAAUGGGAAGGAUUUAAAUUAAAAAGCUUCUUCUCAGCAAAAGAAAUAUCAGUGAGGUGAAUAAAGCCUACAUUUUGGGAGCAAAUUUGUACCAAUCACUAAUUUUUAAAGAAAUAAUUCUACUAAUUCUAAGUUAAUUUUAUUCUGCUAUGUACAUUUGAGACCAAAGAUAUUUUAUUUUCAUUUCAUACCCUGUUUCAAACAACUUUAGAGCAAUGUCCCACAGUUACGGCUACUGAAAACUUUCUCAUAAGGUUCUUUGAUUUUGAUGAAAAUCACUUUAGUAUAUGUCAACCAUGACUUGAGUUACAUUUAUCAUGUUGAAAAGGAUUCUUCUAUUCUUAGUCUUCUUUUAAAAAUUGGUAAUAUAUUGAAUAUUGUAAAAUGUCUAUUCUGGAAUUUGUUGAAAUGUUCAUGUUUUAAAGUGAUCACAUAUAUAAUCAAAUAAAUACUAAAUCAACACUGCA